Molecule: long non-coding RNA, 729 nt
Organism: Acinonyx jubatus (cheetah)
Lineage: Eukaryota; Metazoa; Chordata; Mammalia; Carnivora; Felidae
Exons: 3
Source: RefSeq, a predicted model, not a curated record
AGAACAGAGAGAUGGAUAGAGAUUGUGGGGGGGGGGGGGACAAUACAUUUCUGUUUAAGCCACCUGAUUUGUGGCAUUUUGUUAUGGUGGCCAUAGCAAACUAAUACAGCAUAUAAAAAGAGCAGAGGCUUUGGAGAAUGACUUGCUUGAUUUGAAUCACAGCUCUACUUAGUUGCUUCCCUUCAGUUAGCAACCACAGAACCUUGGGUAUGUCCUUUAACUCUGUUCACAUUUGGAAAGUUAGGAUAGCAACAGUAAACAUUUGGUGACAGCUUGCUUUGGGUGCUAGUCUGCUGUAUCUCACAGCAUCCCAUUCUGUUGUGUCACAGAGACAGCCAAAUCUCCUGGUUAAUUAGAAGUUAAUUUCUUACUGCAAAGUUAUCCUGUCUAUGUAAGUCAAGGCUGAAGGAGACUUUAAAGAAACCAAUGAACAUUUAGAGAAUUGUGUGUGUUCCCUGCAAUAAGUGGAGGGACUCUGGUUUUUGUCAAAGGGAUGCUGGAACGGUGAGAUGGAGAGUUCUACUUCCAGUUAUUAAUUACCCAGCAUGUUCGGCAGAAUCAGUCAAGUUUGCGUAGAAUGGUAAGAUUCUUGCUUUACUUUGCCUUUAUGAAGACAGAAAUGGUAAUUACAUAUGAAAAAUUGAUCUCUGUUGGCAUGGUUAGCUAGUUUAUUAAUUAGUUUUAAUGCUAUAAAUAAUUUGAUCACAAUUUUAAGGUUGGUACCACCUG